GCCAGCUUCAGGUUCUGAGAUCUUUUAAAAGUACCAGUAUUUUGUGAACUAAUUUUCAUAGGAAACUAGAGAGAGACCCAAAGUCAGCUGGACUGUCUGAGUUCUUUAGACCAGAGCCUCUCAAGUUUUAAUGUGCAUGCAGGUCAGAUGGAGAUCCUAGGAAAAAUGUAGAUUGUGAUUCAGUAAGUAUAGAUUAGGCCCAAGAUCCAGAGUGCUAGAAAACAUCCAGAGGAUUCCUGUGCAAAGUUGUGCUUCCACCCAAGACCAGUGUCAUCAAAAUUCCCAAGCUGGUUCACACAGGAAAAUUUAAGGAGCACUGUGUUAUAUUCUGAUCCCUGGAGAAUGGAUGUCAGUUUAAAGAGCAGGACAAAAUUAAUUCUUUCCAUUUCAUAUAUGACCAUAAAAUAAGACCAAAAAAAAUCCCAGUGGAUAGUUCUUUUUCCUCCCCCUUAUAAAAGUACUUCCUCUCUUUUCACUUUUAAAAGAAAACUACUAAUAAAAUGAAUCAGGCAUAGGAUGUUAGUGUUUCCUGUGACAUUAUUACAUUAAUAAUUACCAGUGCUUGAAAUUGUCUCUGAGUGAUUAUUGACAUUAUUUCAACUGAAAUGGUCACAGUCAGAAAAGUUCUCUUAUCAUCUCCCAUUUGUAGUUUCUACCAAGUCAUCCUAACACAAGUGAUGAUCCAGAGUAUAGACGUGUUAUUCUUAGCUACCUCUACUCAUCUGAAGUGCUUAGUUCAUUACUCACUAUCCAGAGAAGUAAAAAAUUGUCGUGCUGCUUUCUUUCAAAACAUUAAUAAUUUUUAUUAUUUUCACUUUUAUUGGGGAAAUUUUAGAAAUCAUUGAUAAGCAANUUCUCAAACCACUCCCUCUGGCAUUUUGC
Molecule: long non-coding RNA, 882 nt
Filed under: Marmota monax (woodchuck)
Lineage: Eukaryota; Metazoa; Chordata; Mammalia; Rodentia; Sciuridae
Source: RNAcentral